GGUUGUGAUCAUACCAGCACUAAUGCACCGGAUCCCAUCAGAACUCCGCAGUUAAGCGUGCUUAGGCGAGAGUAGUACUAGGAUGGGUGACCCCCUGGGAAGUCCUCGUGUUGCAACCC
RNAcentral lists this ribosomal RNA (119 nucleotides) under Helianthus annuus (common sunflower). Lineage: Eukaryota; Viridiplantae; Streptophyta; Magnoliopsida; Asterales; Asteraceae. The record is from RNAcentral.